UACGUAGGGUGCAAGCGUUGCCCGGAUUUAUUGGGCGUAAAGGGCGCGUAGGCGGCUCUGCACGUUCGUUGUGAAAUCGCCCGGCUCAACUGGGCGGGGUCAGCGGAUACGGCAGAGCUUGAGCAAGCUAGGGGGCAAUGGAAUUCCGGUGUAGUGGUGGAAUGCGUAGAUAUCGGGAGGAACACCGGUGGCGAAGGCGGCCAUCUGGACGGAUACUGACGCUG
RNAcentral lists this ribosomal RNA (224 nucleotides) under uncultured bacterium. Its description in RNAcentral is "partial 16S ribosomal RNA". It matches the Rfam family "Bacterial small subunit ribosomal RNA", at positions 524 to 748 of the family's 1533-position model. The record is from RNAcentral.